Molecule: long non-coding RNA, 498 nt
Organism: Parus major (Great Tit)
Lineage: Eukaryota; Metazoa; Chordata; Aves; Passeriformes; Paridae
Exons: 3
Source: RefSeq, a predicted model, not a curated record
UGGGAGUAAGCAGGGUCUGAGAAAACUUUCCAGAGAAGGACUUGAGCUCUAUGAGAGCUUGUGAACCCUUCCCUCUAAUUAAUUUUCUGUAUAUGCCUUGCUUUGCUUUAUGGUGAGAGCUGUGGUGGAGAACCUUGGGUGACUUUCAUCACCAUGGAUCCUGAAGCCUCAUGGCUUGGUAGCUGUUCCAGCAUGAAGCUUUCCCUGAUGAUCAUCCUUCAACCCAUGAAAAUUGGGGGCUGCAGCAUGUCUCCUGAAAGGACUUAAGAGGCCACUGCACAGGAUCUGCAUAUUCAUUGUUCCCAUUCAUCAAGGAACUCAGACCUCCCAUCCCUCCUGGGGAGAAGGAUGAAGCACUGAAAUUUUUCAAAGCUGAUUUUUUUUAUUCUGGAAACAUACACCUACUUCUUUCUCACUGAUAAUGUUAAAAUACAGUUAAAAUUCUUUUCUCAAUAAAGACAUUUCCCUGGAUCAGAGCUAUUACAUCCAGCACUUUGU